Molecule: ribosomal RNA, 200 nt
Filed under: uncultured bacterium
Lineage: Bacteria
Description: partial 16S ribosomal RNA
Rfam family: Bacterial small subunit ribosomal RNA
Source: RNAcentral
AUUGAACGCUGGCGGCAGGCCUAACACAUGCAAGUCGAGCGGUAGAGAGAAGCUUGCUUCUCUUGAGAGCGGCGGACGGGUGAGUAAUGCCUAGGAAUCUGCCUGGUAGUGGGGGAUAACGCUCGGAAACGGACGCUAAUACCGCAUACGUCCUACGGGAGAAAGCAGGGGGACCUUCGGGCCUUGCGCUAUCAGAUGAG